RNAcentral lists this ribosomal RNA (600 nucleotides) under uncultured bacterium. RNAcentral describes it as "bacterial SSU rRNA". It matches the Rfam family "Bacterial small subunit ribosomal RNA", at positions 92 to 727 of the family's 1533-position model. The record is from RNAcentral.
UUAGUGGCGCGGCGGGUGAGUAACGCGUGGGAAUUUGCCUCUAGGUACGGAAUAGCCCCGGGAAACUGGGAGUAAUACCGUAUGAUGACUCCGGUCCAAAGAUUUAUCGCCUAAGAUAAGCCCGCGUCUGAUUAGCUAGUUGGUGAGGUAAUGGCUCACCAAGGCGACGAUCAGUAGCUGGUCUUAGAGGAUGAUCAGCCACACUGGAACUGAGACACGGUCCAGACUCCUACGGGAGGCAGCAGUGGGGAAUAUUGGGCAAUGGGCGCAAGCCUGACCCAGCCAUGCCGCGUGAGUGAAGAAGGCCUUCGGGUUGUAAAACUCUUUCAGAUGGGAAGAUAAUGACGGUACCAUCAGAAGAAGCCCCGGCUAACCUCGUGCCAGCAGCCGCGGUAAUACGAGGGGGGCAAGCGUUGUUCGGAAUCACUGGGCGUAAAGCGUACGCAGGCGGAUAAGUAAGCUAGGGGUGAAAUCCCGGGGCUCAACCUCGGAACUGCCUUUAGAACUGCUUAUCUAGAGAUCGGAAGAGGAUGGCGGAAUUCCUAGUGUAGAGGUGAAAUUCGUAGAUAUUAGGAGGAACACCAGUGGCGAAGGCGGCCA